UCCUACGGGGGGCAGCAGUGGGGAAUAUUGGGCAAUGGGCGCAAGCCUGACCCAGCAACGCCGCGUGAAGGAAGAAGGCUCUCGGGUUGUAAACUUCUUUUCUCAGGGACGAAGCAAGGGACGGUACCUGAUGAAUAAGCCACGGCUAAAUACGUGCAAGAAGCAGCGGUAAUACGUAGGUGGCAAGCGUUAUCCGGAUUUACUGGGUGUAAAGGGCGUGUAGGCGGGAAAGCAAGUCAGAUGUGAAAAACA
RNAcentral lists this ribosomal RNA (252 nucleotides) under uncultured bacterium. Its description in RNAcentral is "partial 16S ribosomal RNA". It matches the Rfam family "Bacterial small subunit ribosomal RNA", at positions 337 to 603 of the family's 1533-position model. The record is from RNAcentral.